AAGAAAUAAUCGAAGAGAAGAAAAAAUACACUGCCAGUGAUACGCACCAACAGUGCCUCUUUUUUCGAUUUCUAUUUCUUCUUCUUCUUCUUCUUCUUUUACUACUUUUUAAACUUCAUAUUAUUUUUUCCGUUUCCUCGUAUUUUUAU
This 149-nucleotide non-coding RNA is filed under the name uncultured eukaryote. The record is from RNAcentral.